Molecule: ribosomal RNA, 460 nt
Filed under: uncultured bacterium
Lineage: Bacteria
Description: partial 16S ribosomal RNA
Rfam family: Bacterial small subunit ribosomal RNA
Source: RNAcentral
CCUACGGGAGGCAGCAGUGAGGAAUAUUGGUCAAUGGGCGGAAGCCUGAACCAGCCAAGUAGCGUGAAGGAUGACGGCCCUACGGGUUGUAAACUGCUUUUAUAGAGGAAUAAAGCGACGUACGUGUCGGACUUUGCAUGUACCGUAUGAAUAAGGACCGGCUAAUUCCGUGCCAGCAGCCGCGGUAAUACGGAGGGUCCGAGCGUUAUCCGGAUUUAGUGGGUUUAAAGGGAGCGUAGGCGGGUUGUUAAGUCUGUUGUGAAAGGUUUGGGCUCAACCGGGGCAUUGCAGCGGAAACUGGCAGUCUUGAGUGCAGUGGAGGUAGGCGGAAUUCGUCGUGUAGCGGUGAAAUGCUUAGAUAUAACGAAGAACACCGAUUGCGAAGGCAGCUUUCUGAACUGGAACUGACGUUGAUGCUCGAAAGCGUGGGGAUCAAACAGGAUUAGAUACCCUAGUAGUC